CAGGUAGAUUGACCUCUGCUGACACAACUCUUAUGAAUCCAGCAUCUGGAGAUGAAAGAACAGCAGAGAAGAUGACGAUGAUGAUUGCAGGAGGUGUGACUGCAGGUGUCCUCUUUCUUGGAUUGGCACUUCUCUUUUUUCAAAGCAGGACUGAAAAAACUGUUUCCAAGAGACCAAAAAUCAACGUCGCUGGUUUGCAGGCUGGUUAUGAUGAAACCUACAGUGUCGUCACCUAUGAAUGCAACAACUGAGUGACAACAGCAGCACCUCAGACAAGCGUCUCCUGAGAGACAGCGUGCAGCGCUACAAAGUCAAUUUAAAAUCCAAAUAUUGCUUUUCUUGCAUCUUUUCCCACUUUGCUUUUUUUGUACAUUUAUUUACAUCAACAUGUUGGUUUAAUCAAACUUUCCUUAAUUGAUAGAAACAGAAAUUAGCUCAGAAGAUAACAUGUCUCACAAUGCUCUAAAUA
This is a long non-coding RNA of Centropristis striata (black sea bass), 469 nucleotides long. RefSeq lists it as uncharacterized. The transcript has 5 exons. The record is from RefSeq and is a predicted model, not a curated record. Lineage: Eukaryota; Metazoa; Chordata; Actinopteri; Perciformes; Serranidae.